GAGUUUGUCACGGAGAUAAUGGAUGCAGUGGAUUCGAAGCUGCUUUUUUCUUUUUUCCUUCAGUCAAGUGACAUUGUCGAUACAGCUGAUUCCGAGUAGCGCGCCUCUGUCAGGUCCCCCGUUCUUGGAGAAAAUGCAGGAUGAAAUAUUUGUACAGGAAAGGGUCUCAUGUUGCCCAAACUGGCCUUAAGCAGUCAUCCUGCCUCAGCCUCCUGAGAAGCUGGAACUACUGUGCCUGGCUUACAGUGAUUAUUUUUAAUUGUUUUAUUUUCUAACUUUAUAUAAUAAAGUCAGGAAUGGUUUAUGCAACAGAUUUGCAAGAUAAUGGAAGAUUCUGAAUUUAUAUAGUUCCUCUUGCCAGUUUUAUACUUCUGAUAUUUUUCUUUCAGGCAAUCUCCCUUCAGCCUUUUCACUCAGGAAUGGCACUCUACCACUAAGCCACAGCUCUACUUCUGGCUUUUUUAGUAG
Perognathus longimembris pacificus (Pacific pocket mouse) is the source of this 468-nucleotide long non-coding RNA. RefSeq lists it as uncharacterized. NCBI's taxonomy places the organism in Eukaryota, Metazoa, Chordata, Mammalia, Rodentia, Heteromyidae. The transcript is spliced from 3 exons. The record is from RefSeq and is a predicted model, not a curated record.